This 497-nucleotide ribosomal RNA is filed under the name uncultured bacterium. Its description in RNAcentral is "partial 16S ribosomal RNA". It matches the Rfam family "Bacterial small subunit ribosomal RNA", at positions 28 to 507 of the family's 1533-position model. The record is from RNAcentral.
GAUGAACGCUGGCGGCGUGCCUAAUACAUGCAAGUCGAGCGAACAGACGAGGAGCUUGCUCCUCUGACGUUAGCGGCGGACGGGUGAGUAACACGUGGAUAACCUACCUAUAAGACUGGGAUAACUUCGGGAAACCGGAGCUAAUACCGGAUAAUAUAUUGAACCGCAUGGUUCAAUAGUGAAAGACGGUUUUGCUGUCACUUAUAGAUGGAUCCGCGCCGCAUUAGCUAGUUGGUAAGGUAACGGCUUACCAAGGCAACGAUGCGUAGCCGACCUGAGAGGGUGAUCGGCAACCCUGGAACUGAGACACGGUCCAGACUCCUACGGGAGGCACCAGUAGGGAAUCUUCCGCAAUGGGCGAAAGCCUGACGGAGCAACGCCGCGUGAGUGAUGAAGGUCUUCGGAUCGUAAACCUCUGUUAUUAGGGAAGAACAAAUGUGUAAGUAACUAUGCACGUCUUGACGGUACCUAAUCAGAAAGCCACGGCUAACUACGUG